UUAUUUAUUUAUUUAUUUUUGGUUGUCCCAGUCCAGCCCAACCCUGGCAGACGACCAACAAUGCGUCGGUCCACCAGGAAAACGCACCGUAUGCCAGAUUACCGGUCCAGCACUGCGGAUGCCAGAUGUGAUAUUGGAAGGGGAACAUUUUCAAGAGACUUUACUGCAGCACAUCUCUCCAGAAUAUCAGUUAUACCCUGGGUCUGCCAUAGGGCCUCCAUUACAUAAACACCUAGGACGACAAUUUACAAUCAAAUCAAAUUUGCAUAGAUGGUCUUUGAUCAGUGGUUGUUGAUCAAUGGUCAGGACAAAUUGCAUAUGAAUGAUCAAUGAACUGACCUCACAACCUAUUGCUCAGUGAGCUAGUUUCAGUCAUUGUGCAAAGUAACUGAUAUAAGGUUGGAGAAGCCUGCAGCCAGCGGAGACUGAAAAGGCCACUUGGAUGAGUGAGGGAACGUUUUCUGACACUGAAAAAGCAAAGUCCAGAUGAACAGAAUCAACCAUUUGAGCAGACUGAAAAAUGUGCUCAAAUAACCAGAAAAAAAACGCACAGAACUUUUUGAAUCAAUGUCAGUGAAGAGAAGAAGGCCAGGGCCUAUUAAAUGCCACAGCCUAAAGGCAGCGGAGUUGCGGAGGCUGGAGUGACCGCUGGCUAUCUACUUCCAGGGUGGUGGGUCUCAGAGGACAACUGCUAACCCUGUUGAAGUCAACACGUGGAGUGCAACUGGCGUUGUGGCAUAGCUGGCUCUGGCCUUGGGAUUGUAUGUUUUUACUUGUUCUGCAAAUGGGACACUGGACUGUUUUAUCUUAUCUUUUGAUUGUAUCAAAUUAUCUUUUAGAAUUUUAUUGACUGUCAUCCUUUUGCCCACAGCUGAGACUGUUGGUCAGACCUAGACUCUUUUUGUGUGUGUUAGCCUACACAUACAUGAUUGUUAACCAUUGUUAAAUUUCCCAAUUCUUUGAUCUUUGGGCUGAAGGAAGAACAACACUCGGUGUAUAAAAAUGCUCAAUCAACA
Oreochromis aureus is the source of this 1016-nucleotide long non-coding RNA. Lineage: Eukaryota; Metazoa; Chordata; Actinopteri; Cichliformes; Cichlidae. The record is from Ensembl.